RNAcentral lists this non-coding RNA (30 nucleotides) under Homo sapiens (human). The record is from RNAcentral. Lineage: Eukaryota; Metazoa; Chordata; Mammalia; Primates; Hominidae.
GCCCAGAUCACAGCUGUCAUGCCUGAGAAC